This 561-nucleotide ribosomal RNA is filed under the name uncultured Actinomycetes bacterium. RNAcentral describes it as "bacterial SSU rRNA". It matches the Rfam family "Bacterial small subunit ribosomal RNA", at positions 900 to 1463 of the family's 1533-position model. Lineage: Bacteria; Bacillati; Actinomycetota; Actinomycetes. The record is from RNAcentral.
CUCAAAGGAAUUGACGGGGGCCCGCACAAGCAGCGGAGCAUGCGGCUUAAUUCGAUGCAACGCGAAGAACCUUACCUAGACUUGACAUAUACGGAAAACAUGCAGAGAUGUAUGGUCCUAACGGGCCGUUUACAGGUGGUGCAUGGUUGUCGUCAGCUCGUGUCGUGAGAUGUUGGGUUAAGUCCCGCAACGAGCGCAACCCUCGUUCUAUGUUGCCAGCACGUAACGGUGGGGACUCAUAGGAGACUGCCGGGGUCAACUCGGAGGAAGGUGGGGAUGACGUCAAAUCAUCAUGCCCCUUAUGUCUAGGGCUGCACGCAUGCUACAAUGGCUGGUACAAAGGGCUGCGAUACCGCAAGGUGGAGCGAAUCCCAAAAAGCCAGUCUCAGUUCGGAUUGGGGUCUGCAACUCGACCCCAUGAAGUUGGAGUUGCUAGUAAUCGCAGAUCAGCAACGCUGCGGUGAAUACGUUCCCGGGCCUUGUACACACCGCCCGUCACGUCACGAAAUCGGUAACACCCGAAGCCGGUGGCCUAACCGUAAGGAAGGAGCCGUCGAAGGU